CCCUGGGUGGUGGAGCCAGGUAAUAUAUUUGGCUGCUAACCAAAAGUUGGAAGUUCAAGUCUACCCAGAGGCA
This 73-nucleotide transfer RNA is filed under the name Loxodonta africana (African savanna elephant). It matches the Rfam family "tRNA". From Rfam's summary of the family: Transfer RNA (tRNA) molecules are approximately 80 nucleotides in length. The record is from Rfam by way of RNAcentral. Lineage: Eukaryota; Metazoa; Chordata; Mammalia; Proboscidea; Elephantidae.